This 330-nucleotide unclassified non-coding RNA is filed under the name uncultured Ascomycota. RNAcentral's name for it is "sequence contains ITS1". The stretch from base 1 to 105 matches the Rfam family "5.8S ribosomal RNA", at positions 50 to 154 of the family's 154-position model. The record is from RNAcentral. Lineage: Eukaryota; Fungi; Ascomycota.
GAAAUGCGAUAAGUAAUGUGAAUUGCAGAAUUCCGUGAAUCAUCGAAUCUUUGAACGCACAUUGCGCCCCCUGGUAUCCCGGGGGGCAUGCCUGUCCGAGCGUCAUUGCAACCCCUUCAAGCCCGGCUUGUGUUAUGGGCCGCACUCGUCACCGCAACCCCGGCUCCACGGGGAGGUGACGGGCCCGAAAUGCAGUGGCGACGCCGCGACACCGGCGCCCUGGCGAAUGGGAGACCAUCAACCGCCAUGAGGCCCGGCCGGCUUCCGCCGCUAGAAAAUUUUCUUCUUACGGUUGACCUCGGAUCAGGUAGGGAUACCCGCUGAACUUAA